UAGGGAAUCUUCCACAAUGGACGAAAGUACUGAUGGAGCAACGCGCGUGAGUGAAGAAGGGUUUCGGCUCGUAAAACUCUGUUGUUAAAGAAGAACAUAUCUGAGAGUAACUGUUCAGGUAUUGACGGUAUUUAACCAGAAAGCCACGGCUAACUCGUGCCAG
RNAcentral lists this ribosomal RNA (163 nucleotides) under uncultured bacterium. RNAcentral describes it as "partial 16S ribosomal RNA". It matches the Rfam family "Bacterial small subunit ribosomal RNA", at positions 355 to 511 of the family's 1533-position model. The record is from RNAcentral.